This 885-nucleotide long non-coding RNA is filed under the name Panax ginseng (ginseng). Its description in RNAcentral is "long non-coding RNA (PGIN_LNC000713)". Lineage: Eukaryota; Viridiplantae; Streptophyta; Magnoliopsida; Apiales; Araliaceae. The record is from RNAcentral.
GUGUGUUAAAAUUUUCCUUGUCCCUGUGUUGAUACCAUAAUGGGGGUAUCAGCUAUGUGGCGGAGGAGGUUGGAUAACUAGUGAGGUAUUCUGCCAAAGAGUUGUACGAGAUAGACCAAAUUACUUAUUUUAUUCAAUAGGGAAAAAUUUAAAUGCAUAGAAGUACUUUCAAAACAUUUAUGCACUGUCACAAUAUUCAAUAGGGAAAAAUUUAAAUGCAGAGGUACUAAUAAUACCCAUUUUGCAGUACGAUAGUAUUAAGUCACAAUAUCCAAAACAGCCCAUACAGUACUUUUGACAAACACCAUAUAUGCACUGUUUUAAAUCACCAUUCUCAUAGCAGUUCAAUUAUAGCUCAAUUGCAAAAAGUAUAAGAAUUUGGUCUCUUACACAAACAAAAUACACAUAUACAUACAUGCGUAUGUAUAUAUGAAUCAUUACAGCAACUAAUGGAAUGCGGAUGAAUAAAGUUGUUAGAAAAAAUACCUUUGAAAAAAUUGACGGGUCUUUAGGUCUUCGAAUUUAGGGCUUCUGCAAUUGGGACAGAAGGAGCAAAUUUAAAGAUGCAAAGAUGGAGUUUGGGGUAUAAUUUUGGGAUUAAUGAUAAUCCCUUCACCCGUAGGAAACAUUAUCCGCACAAUCAAAUCUCAAUCUCGCUAAUAGCGGCUAAAUUUGGCAAUACUUUUUUAUUUCUCCCGCCUAAACUAUGGCUAAGGAAUAGAGGGGAAAACAAAUUGGUAGAAACCUAGCAUCUAUCUGGUUGAACCUUCAAUGUUGGCUAAGAAUUGAGCGAAACCAUGUCUAUUGCUUCCCUUUCGCGCACAACUCCAGACACGCUAAGAAUUGAGCGAAGCUCUCCCUAAUUGUUAUUUAACUGAAUGUUAA